Molecule: ribosomal RNA, 453 nt
Filed under: uncultured organism
Description: partial 16S ribosomal RNA
Rfam family: Bacterial small subunit ribosomal RNA
Source: RNAcentral
UACACUCCUACGGGAGGCAGCAGUGGGGAAUAUUGGACAAUGGGCGCAAGCCUGAUCCAGCCAUGCCGCGUGAGUGAUGAAGGCCCUAGGGUUGUAAAGCUCUUUCACCGGAGAAGAUAAUGACGGUAUCCGGAGAAGAAGCCCCGGCUAACUUCGUGCCAGCAGCCGCGGUAAUACGAAGGGGGCUAGCGUUGUUCGGAAUUACUGGGCGUAAAGCGCACGUAGGCGGAUCGAUCAGUCAGGGGUGAAAUCCCAGGGCUCAACCCUGGAACUGCCUUUGAUACUGUCGAUCUGGAGUAUGGAAGAGGUGAGUGGAAUUCCGAGUGUAGAGGUGAAAUUCGUAGAUAUUCGGAGGAACACCAGUGGCGAAGGCGGCUCACUGGUCCAUUACUGACGCUGAGGUGCGAAAGCGUGGGGAGCAAACAGGAUUAGAAACCCCAGUAGUCCCAUGAU